GCCAGGGUGGCAGAAUCCGGUAACGCGUGCGCCUGGAAAGCGCAUGGCCGCAAGGCCUUUAGGGUUCAAAUCCCUACCCUGGCG
RNAcentral lists this transfer RNA (84 nucleotides) under Microcaldota archaeon. RNAcentral describes it as "tRNA-Ser". It matches the Rfam family "tRNA". From Rfam's summary of the family: Transfer RNA (tRNA) molecules are approximately 80 nucleotides in length. Their secondary structure includes four short double-helical elements and three loops (D, anti-codon, and T loops). The record is from RNAcentral. Lineage: Archaea; Nanobdellati; Microcaldota.